This 253-nucleotide ribosomal RNA is filed under the name uncultured bacterium. Its description in RNAcentral is "partial 16S ribosomal RNA". It matches the Rfam family "Bacterial small subunit ribosomal RNA", at positions 524 to 776 of the family's 1533-position model. The record is from RNAcentral.
UACGUAGGGGGCAAGCGUUGUCCGGAUUUAUUGGGCGUAAAGAGCGUGUAGGCGGCCAUGCAGGUCAGCUGUGAAAACUCGAGGCUCAACCUCGAGACGUCGGUUGAAACCGCAUGGCUAGAGUCCGGAAGAGGAGACUGGAAUUCCUGGUGUAGCGGUGAAAUGCGCAGAUAUCAGGAGGAACACCGGUGGCGAAGGCGGGUCUCUGGGCUGAUACUGACGCUGAGGAGCGAAAGCGUGGGGAGCGAACAGG